Molecule: small nucleolar RNA, 73 nt
Organism: Oncorhynchus keta (chum salmon)
Lineage: Eukaryota; Metazoa; Chordata; Actinopteri; Salmoniformes; Salmonidae
Source: RefSeq, a predicted model, not a curated record
UAAUGAUGACUACUAAACUGAAAACAGCUGGAAUUACCGUCAGAAUGGUUAGUGGUGAUUCGGUUUUCUGAAC